AUUGAACGCUGGCGGCAUGCCUUACACAUGCAAGUCGGACGGCAGCAUGAUCUAGCUUGCUAGAUUGAUGGCGAGUGGCGAACGGGUGAGUAAUACAUCGGAACGUGCCCUGUAGUGGGGGAUAACUAGUCGAAAGAUUAGCUAAUACCGCAUACGACCUGAGGGUGAAAGUGGGGGACCGCAAGGCCUCAUGCUAUAGGAGCGGCCGAUGUCUGAUUAGCUAGUUGGUGAGGUAAAGGCUCACCAAGGAGACGAUCAGUAGCUGGUCUGAGAGGACGAUCAGCCACACUGGGACUGAGACACGGCCCAGACUCAUACGGGAGGCAGCAGUGGGGAAUUUUGGAAAAUGGGCGAAAGCCUGAUCCAGCAAUGCCGCGUGUGUGAAGAAGGCCUUCGGGUUGUAAAGCACUUUUGUCCGGAAAGAAAUGGCUCUGGUUAAUACCUGGGGUCGAUGACGGUACCGGAAGAAUAAGGACCGGCGAACGACG
Molecule: ribosomal RNA, 488 nt
Filed under: uncultured bacterium
Lineage: Bacteria
Description: partial 16S ribosomal RNA
Rfam family: Bacterial small subunit ribosomal RNA
Source: RNAcentral